GACAGAGGUGCCGAGCGUUAGGCGGAAUCACUGGGCUUAAAGCGCGCGUAGGCGGCUUUGCAAGUCGGGUGUGAAAUCCCCAGGCUUAACCUGGGAACUGCAUUCGAGACUGCAUUGCUAGAGUAUGGGAGAGGGAAGUGGAAUUUCCGGUGUAGCGGUGAAAUGCGUAGAUAUCGGAAGGAACAUCAGUGGCGAAAGCGACUUCCCGGACCAAUACUGACGCUCAUGUGCGAAAGCGUGGGGAGCAAACAGG
RNAcentral lists this ribosomal RNA (253 nucleotides) under uncultured bacterium. Its description in RNAcentral is "partial 16S ribosomal RNA". It matches the Rfam family "Bacterial small subunit ribosomal RNA", at positions 524 to 776 of the family's 1533-position model. The record is from RNAcentral.